Myotis davidii is the source of this 364-nucleotide long non-coding RNA. RefSeq lists it as uncharacterized. The record is from RefSeq and is a predicted model, not a curated record. The transcript is spliced from 3 exons. NCBI's taxonomy places the organism in Eukaryota, Metazoa, Chordata, Mammalia, Chiroptera, Vespertilionidae.
GAUAUUUUCUACUCUGGGCUUGGAAUUCAGUGAAACUGUGAUAAAACAACACUGGUGGUGGUCGUAAAGGAGGAAAUGUAAUAGUGAAGCUGGCCCCACAGUGCUUGUCGUCUGUGGGCUAGUUUCAAACAAGCACAUCCUUUGAGAGACACAGUUGGCUCUCCUGGGGGGUCUGGCUCCUUGGUAAGUCCCAGUCUUGGUCUCAAAGUUCUGUUUCACUUCACCAAAUUCCCAAAGAAACAAACAGGAUUUCCCCAGAGCAGGCCUGCUGUUCUGUGGUAUACUCAGUCUUUUGUGGGGGCAUAAUGCAUAUAUUAAUACAUAUGUAUAUAUAAUAUUCUUUGCACUGGUUUACUCAUUAUUC